GGGGAUUUAGCUCAGAGGCAUAAGUACCUGCCUUUAAAGCAGGCAGUUGUGAGUUCAAUCCUCA
This 64-nucleotide transfer RNA is filed under the name Cavia porcellus (domestic guinea pig). It matches the Rfam family "tRNA", at positions 1 to 62 of the family's 71-position model. From Rfam's summary of the family: Transfer RNA (tRNA) molecules are approximately 80 nucleotides in length. Their secondary structure includes four short double-helical elements and three loops (D, anti-codon, and T loops). Lineage: Eukaryota; Metazoa; Chordata; Mammalia; Rodentia; Caviidae. The record is from Rfam by way of RNAcentral.